UACGGAGGGCGCAAGCGUUGUUCGGAAUUACUGGGCGUAAAGCGUACGCAGGCGGCUUUGCAAGACAGGUGUGAAAUCCCCGGGCCUAACCUGGGAACUGCAUUUGUGACUGCAUAGCUAGAGUUUGUCAGAGGGGGGUGGAAUUCCACGUGUAGCAGUGAAAUGCGUAGAUAUGUGGAGGAACACCGAUGGCGAAGGCAGCCCCCUGGGAUGUGACUGACGCUCAUGUACGAAAGCGUGGGGAGCAAACAGG
RNAcentral lists this ribosomal RNA (253 nucleotides) under uncultured bacterium. Its description in RNAcentral is "partial 16S ribosomal RNA". It matches the Rfam family "Bacterial small subunit ribosomal RNA", at positions 524 to 776 of the family's 1533-position model. The record is from RNAcentral.